ACGGAGGGUGCAAGCGUUAAUCGGAAUUACUGGGCGUAAAGCGCACGCAGGCGGUUGGAUAAGUUAGAUGUGAAAGCCCCGGGCUCAACCUGGGAAUUGCAUUUAAAACUGUCCAGCUAGAGUCUUGUAGAGGGGGGUAGAAUUCCAGGUGUAGCGGUGAAAUGCGUAGAGAUCUGGAGGAAUACCGGUGGCGAAGGCGGCCCCCUGGACAAAGACUGACGCUCAGGUGCGAAAGCGUGGGGAGCAAACAG
RNAcentral lists this ribosomal RNA (251 nucleotides) under uncultured bacterium. RNAcentral's name for it is "partial 16S ribosomal RNA". It matches the Rfam family "Bacterial small subunit ribosomal RNA", at positions 525 to 775 of the family's 1533-position model. The record is from RNAcentral. RNAcentral also lists the same sequence under 1 other name.